This 348-nucleotide unclassified non-coding RNA is filed under the name soil metagenome. RNAcentral describes it as "partial contains 5.8S ribosomal RNA, internal transcribed spacer 2, and large subunit ribosomal RNA". The stretch from base 1 to 120 matches the Rfam family "5.8S ribosomal RNA", at positions 35 to 154 of the family's 154-position model. The record is from RNAcentral.
GAUGAAGAACGUAGCGAAAUGCGAUAAGUAAUGUGAAUUGCAGAAUUCAGUGAAUCAUCGAAUCUUUGAACGCACAUUGCGCCCGCCAGUAUUCUGGCGGGCAUGCCUGUCUGAGCGUCAUUUCAACCCUCAUGCCCCUAGGGCGUGGUGUUGGGGAUCGGCCAAAGCCCGCGAGGGACGGCCGGCCCCUAAAUCUAGUGGCGGACCCGUCGUGGCCUCCUCUGCGAAGUAGUGAUAUUCCGCAUCGGAGAGCGAUGAGCCCCUGCCGUUAAACCCCCAACUUUCCAAGGUUGACCUCAGAUCAGGUAGGAAUACCCGCUGAACUUAAGCAUAUCAAUAAGCUGAGGA